RNAcentral lists this ribosomal RNA (340 nucleotides) under uncultured Lactifluus. RNAcentral's name for it is "eukaryotic LSU rRNA". The stretch from base 1 to 60 matches the Rfam family "5.8S ribosomal RNA", at positions 95 to 154 of the family's 154-position model. The record is from RNAcentral. Lineage: Eukaryota; Fungi; Basidiomycota; Agaricomycetes; Russulales; Russulaceae.
AAUCUUUGAACGCAUCUUGCGCCCCUUGGCAUUCCGAGGGGCACACCCGUUUGAGCGUCCUGUAACUCUCAACCCUUCUCCCUUUCUUGGUGAACCGGGAGGAUGGCUUGGACUUUGGAGGCUUCUGCCGGUCUCAUCCCUCUUAGAACCGGCUCCUCUUAAAGAAAUUAGUGGGGUCUCAUUUGCCGAUCCUUGACGUGAUAAUAUUUGACGUCUUUUUUUGAGAGGCAAAGAGACCUUGCUUCCAAUGGUCUCAUUCAGGGACACCAGUGAGAUCAAAGAUCCCACUAGACCCCCAUUGACCUCAAAUCGGGUGAGACUACCCGCUGAACUUAAGCAU